RNAcentral lists this long non-coding RNA (1329 nucleotides) under Androctonus crassicauda. Lineage: Eukaryota; Metazoa; Arthropoda; Arachnida; Scorpiones; Buthidae. The record is from RNAcentral.
CUAUAUUUAUUAAUGAAUUUUAUGAUAUAAUAAUUAAAUAUCCAUAGUUUUGUACAAUUUAAUAGAGUUAAUUAUAGAUCAGAUAUAUUUCAUAAAUAAUACAGUAUUAAUAAAAUAAUAUUUAUAAAGUAUAGUUAUGAAAGAUCUAUUCAGCAAUAACAUUACUUGAAAAAAUUAUCGUUAUCAAAAUUAAUAGCCUCAGGUAUGUAGUUUAAUGAAGCAAUUUAUAACGAGGGUCACCCCGAAUUAAACCGAGAAAGACUUUUUUUUUUUUAAUCGAGUAAAAUUUGAGUAAUCUCAACUAAGUCCGUACAGCUAUAUAUUAUAUAUAAAUUUUAUAGAUUUUGAACCGUCCUAUUGGACUGUUAACAUUUUAUGCAGUCACAAAAGGAACGAGCUAACAUGAAAUGACCUAAAAAUGUUAGAUUGCGACAUUCACUUCAAGUGUCUCCGCUCGGUUUUCAACAGCCAACUAGCCUUGCGGGUCUGUAUAACUAUCACAAUCUUAAAUUCCAACCGUGCCAACGUUCUUCGCUUCUAUAUAAAGCAAUUUAGUUUUUAUGGACUGCCAAUGCCAUCUCUUGUCAGUAAUGCGAAAAUUCCAAGCAAUUUUAUGCCCGUACAUCAGUCCGUGUGGUUCAAUACCCUCUUUACACCAAUGACGUUGUAGUUGCAGAUACAACAGUGUGUAAAUAACCCGAUAAGUUAUUUACGUAUAUGUUAAUCGCUUGGAUAAACUGAUAUAGAAAUGUUUAUCCGUAAAAAAAGAGUGCUAAAAUAACUAUUCGAUAUUUUAUUAAAAAAAAAAACAAACACUAUUGAAUUAUGAUACAUGAAUAUACUGUAUAUCGUGCAUUUAUUCUCACUACUGUUUUAUUUCAGGUAUAACUUGUUAUUGUUUUCAAUCCUAUAUUCUUCGUUGAAAAUCUUUAUAAUCGAUGAUUCUAUAUUAAUAAAUCUGUGCGUUAUACUUUUCAGAUGGAAUAUUAAAGAAUUAAAUCGGUCGUUUACUUCAUUUUUGGGGGGAAGAGAGGCAUAAGCGAAGGCGUAACACAUGUGGAAAAUCAUUUUGCUUUCCCGAGAGUCAUGAUAUAUGAGAGACAGAAAUAGGAGUUUCCCCAGAUACCAAUUUCAUCCCCUAAAUAUUUAUUCUAGUCGGAGGCUCGAUGCGAUAUUUAUGCUCUCUUCUUAUUCAUUGGCCCAUUUUAGAAGGGAGAACUGUGAUUACGUCAUAAUUCCGAUAUACAUCUUUCCUUCAAUUAAAAAAAACGUUUACUCCUGUGUCAAAAUAUCUUUUAAAAGUGAAAAAAAUGUAUUUUAUAAAUGAAG